Molecule: ribosomal RNA, 460 nt
Filed under: uncultured bacterium
Lineage: Bacteria
Description: partial 16S ribosomal RNA
Rfam family: Bacterial small subunit ribosomal RNA
Source: RNAcentral
CCUACGGGAGGCAGCAGUGAGGAAUAUUGGUCAAUGGACGAGAGUCUGAACCAGCCAAGUAGCGUGAAGGAUGACUGCCCUAUGGGUUGUAAACUUCUUUUAUAUGGGAAUAAAACAGGGUAUGCAUACCCUCUUGUAUGUACCAUAUGAAUAAGGAUCGGCUAACUCCGUGCCAGCAGCCGCGGUAAUACGGAGGAUCCGAGCGUUAUCCGGAUUUAUUGGGUUUAAAGGGUGCGUAGGGGGUUUGAUAAGUUAGAGGUGAAAUGUUCGGGCUCAACUGGGGAAAUGCAUUUGAUACUGUCAGUCUAGAGUAUAGGUGAGGUAGGCGGAAUGCGUGGUGUAGCGGUGAAAUGCUUAGAGUUCACACAGAACCCCGAUUGCGAAGGCAGCUUACCAAUCUAUAUCUGACGUUGAGGCACGAAAGCGUGGGAAUCAAACAGGAUUAGAUACCCUUGUAGUC